GACGAACGCUGGCGGCGUGCCUAAUACAUGCAAGUCGAACGCAGUUGCGAACGGGUGAGUAACGCGUAGGUAACUGCCUCAUAGCGGGGGAUAACUUUUGGAAACGAUAGCUAAUACCGCAUACUGUGAGAUGGACCUGCGUUGUAUUAGCUAGUUGGUGAGGUAAAGGCUCACCAAGGCGACGAUAGAUAGCCGACCUGAGAGGGUGAUCCGCCCACAUGGGAACGAGGACCCGCCCCGACUCCUUCGGGAGGGAGGAGGAGGGAAUCUUUGGGAAUGGGCGGAAGUCUUACCGAGCAAAGGCGCGGGAGUGGAGGAGGGUUUCGGAGCGGAAAGCUCCUUUGUGUGGGAAGCGGUAACUAACCAGAAAGGGACGGCUAACUACGUGCCAGCAGCCGCGGUAAUAC
This 407-nucleotide ribosomal RNA is filed under the name uncultured bacterium. RNAcentral describes it as "partial 16S ribosomal RNA". It matches the Rfam family "Bacterial small subunit ribosomal RNA", at positions 28 to 526 of the family's 1533-position model. The record is from RNAcentral.